This 544-nucleotide ribosomal RNA is filed under the name uncultured bacterium. RNAcentral describes it as "bacterial SSU rRNA". It matches the Rfam family "Bacterial small subunit ribosomal RNA", at positions 358 to 916 of the family's 1533-position model. The record is from RNAcentral.
GGAAUCUUGCGCAAUGGGCGAAAGCCUGACGCAGCAACGCCGCGUGCGGGAUGAAGGCCUUCGGGCUGUAAACCGCUUUCAGCAGGAACGAAAAUGACGGUACCUGCAGAAGAAGGAGCGGCCAACUACGUGCCAGCAGCCGCGGUGACACGUAGGCUCCAAGCGUUGUCCGGAUUUAUUGGGCGUAAAGAGCUCGUAGGCGGUUUAGUAAGUCGGGUGUUAAAACUCUGGGCUCAACCCGGAGAGGCCAUCCGAUACUGCUGUGACUUGAGUUCAGGAGGGGAGCGGGGAAUUCCUAGUGUAGCGGUGAAAUGCGCAGAUAUUAGGAGGAACACCGGUGGCGAAGGCGCCGCUCUGGACUGAAACUGACGCUGAGGAGCGAAAGCAUGGGUAGCAAACAGGAUUAGAUACCCUGGUAGUCCAUGCCGUAAACGGUGGGCACUAGGUGUGGGUUCCAACUAACAGGAUCCGCGCCGUCGCUAACGCAUUAAGUGCCCCGCCUGGGGAGUACGGUCGCAAGACUAAAACUCAAAGGAAUUGACGG